Hemicordylus capensis (graceful crag lizard) is the source of this 1003-nucleotide long non-coding RNA. RefSeq lists it as uncharacterized. The transcript has 2 exons. NCBI's taxonomy places the organism in Eukaryota, Metazoa, Chordata, Lepidosauria, Squamata, Cordylidae. The record is from RefSeq and is a predicted model, not a curated record.
CCGGAGGCGUGUUCACGGGCCGCACCUGCUCACCGCCGUCUCAAUAUUAGCACGCAGAUGCUCUGCGUGGGUGAAGCUAGUACCUAUUUGCCAAAAUAAUAAAGGUUAUAGGUCUCUUCACAAGUUAUGCAAAUGACACAAUGAAAUAUUGCCCCCCCAUCCCACUUCUAAUGUUUCUUUUUUUAAAAAAACUUGUCAAAUGUGAUAAAGAUGUCUGUAAUCUGUCACUUGCCAGGAGGCAUUACUCUUGAUGACCUCUCUCUCUAUAAACCUCUCCACAAUCAAACUGGGAACCCCUCAAAAACGAAAUUCUGCAUGAGAAUGCCCUAUAUCUGGAUCAGCACUAACUUAGUAAUAGACAGAAUUAUUAAUAGACAAAAUAUGAUGGGUGUUGUAGGCGCAAGAGGCAAAACGCAUUAAAUGCUACCCCUUCUUCUGAUUUCUCACUUCCAGAGAUCCCGGAAGGCAAAAAUAGGGAGGAAAAAACAGGGAAAAUGGGAACAGAAACAAGAAUAUUGGAUGGCCCCUGCUGGAAUAAAAGGAGAAAGAAAAAAUACUACUGGAAUUGUAUGGCGUUCAGCGCAAUGCCCCUAUUUUAAUAUUCUACCUUGGACACCGGGGCGCUGAAGGCUGACCCUGCUUUGAAGAUAAAAGUUUUCUCUCUAAGUAGCUGUUGGCAGACUCCCAACAGGAUGUGUGUAUAGCAGAUGGUUUAACAGCAAGACAAGGCCAAAGAGCUGAUAAUUCUGCCCAGUGAAUGGCUAUUUGCCCACCACCUUUUCUUACGGGGUAAAUGGCAGAGAGGUUACUUAAUAAUUUACAUGCAGCACUCUAUACAUCCAAGUAUACAAGUGAUGUAUUAUUUUCCCAUCUAGAGCUAGGGAAAUUGAUUGUAUACUAUAUCUUCCAUUUGCUGCCUUUAUCUGUAUUUAUAACUUCUGCUGAGUCCAAGGAUCUGUUGAACUGAGCAGCCCCGAGAAUCUAUAUAUAUUUCUCUUCGGCA